The sequence is a small RNA, 126 nucleotides long. It matches the Rfam family "HNH endonuclease-associated RNA and ORF (HEARO) RNA", at positions 1 to 123 of the family's 211-position model.
GUCAACCACCUCCGGCAAGGCCGGAGGCUUGCGGGAGGAUACCGUAAGCCUCGGGUUGACUAGCCCAAGUCUUUUGGAGACUACGUUGGUAUGGUGAACACACCCCGGAGUAUAGCCCGAGCUCCG